Danio rerio (zebrafish) is the source of this 1507-nucleotide non-coding RNA. NCBI's taxonomy places the organism in Eukaryota, Metazoa, Chordata, Actinopteri, Cypriniformes, Danionidae. The record is from RefSeq and is a predicted model, not a curated record.
AUGUUGUUAAAGAAGCUUCUAAUAUAGUCACCUCACACAGUAACACAGUUUCCAGAUUUAGCAUCAGAGGCAUUCGGGUUAUGGCUAAGUUCAGCAAAACAACAACAAAUGCGUUUCUGCUGGCUCAAUAAUUCAGACUCCUGCUUUUCCAGGUCACAGAGACAUUUACGGCUAUGCGCGCCACCAGUUUACUUCAAAACCCCGCCGUCGAGUGCAAUGCUUUACAGUGGACAUAAAGCAGGAGAUGUUCAACAUCAUCACCGAUAAAUCUCGAAAUCAAAGCAAACCCAAAUGGAAGCAGAAACAAGUUCACAAGCUCUGAAAUUUGAUGUCGUCAGCAUCAACAUCCUGACAAAAUUCCAGUUCCUUUGUGGUUUUUUUGUUAAUCAUACAUAUUGUACAUCAUAAAUACCACCGGCCCUUUGUUUACUGUGAAAUCAAUUCCCCCAUCGCUUUACAUCAGACAGUAAACAGUGAUUUGGUGAAGAGGAUGUGAUGAAUGUCGCACAGCAGCUCAGGGGAGCGUCAUGUAAACGUGUGGAGAUCAGGAUCGUCCCCGGAGCCCAAUCCUCUACAGUCCUCGGGUUGAAGAGCCCAAGACGAAUAAAGACGACUGCCUGCCAAAGCAGAGCCCACGGGACACACGCUUUAUUAAAAAUAAGCGAGGAGGCAGCAUGAGACAUUAUGAAGAACAGAGCUGAAGUCUCCACCAGCUGGGAUAUUAUUAUGGCACACGUGCAGAAGACGACGACCUUUAUCAACGGAAGCGUCUGAAUCGAGUAGUGAUGAGUCGUCAAAUGUUGGGUGUUCAGAUUGUGUAUGUACACUACCGGUCAAAAGUUUGGUGUCAGUAGGAUUUUGAAAUGUUUUAAAAUAAGCUUCUCCUGCUCACCAAGGCUGCAUUUAUUUGAUCAAAAAUACAGUACAAACUUUACAAUUGUGAAAUGUUACUGCGCUAUAACUGUUCAAAAGGAGAUUAUCAUUUAAUUUAAUAAUUUAUUCCAGUGGUUCAGAGUCAUGUGAUCCUUUAAAAAUCACUCUAAUAUUAAUUCCUUUUCUUCUUCUUCUUCUUCUUCUUCUUCUUCUUCUUCUUCUUCUUCUUAUUAUUAUUAUUAUUAUUAUUAUUAUUAUUAUUAUUAAUGGUAAUAGUAGUACAAGUAACAAUGAUGAAGUAAUAAUUUCUUUUAAAACCACAUACAAUAGGAAAGCAGUUUUUUUAUUAAUUAUUUUUUUAAUUAUUUAAUAAAUUGCACCUUGAUAAACAAAAAUAAUUUUCUUAAAAAAAUAAAAAAUAAAAAAACUGACCCCAAACUUUUAACCAGUAGUGUAUAUACAAUAUUAUUUGGACUUUAUGAUCAACAGAAUGUAUGUAGGUGAUUUUCUGGAUGUUGUCUGUGGAGGUUUGUCUCGCACAUUUGCAAGUGUCAGAUUUGUAAUCUCUCCUUUUUUGUAACCGAUCAGGCACUGUGGGAUGUUCACUUUGCUUCACAAUAAAAUGAAAAAUGUG